This 253-nucleotide ribosomal RNA is filed under the name uncultured bacterium. RNAcentral's name for it is "partial 16S ribosomal RNA". It matches the Rfam family "Bacterial small subunit ribosomal RNA", at positions 524 to 776 of the family's 1533-position model. The record is from RNAcentral.
UACGAAGGUCCCAAGCGUUAUCCGGAUUUAUUGGGUUUAAAGGGUGCGUAGGCGGACUACUAAGUCAGACGUGAAAUCCCUCGGCUUAACCGGGGAACUGCGUCUGAUACUGGAUGGCUUGAGUUCGGGAGAGGGAUGCGGAAUUCCAGGUGUAGCGGUGAAAUGCGUAGAUAUCGGGAGGAACACCAGUGGCGAAGGCGACUACCUGGCCUGUUCUUGACGCUGAUGCGCGAAAGCCAGGGGAGCGAACGGG